Molecule: ribosomal RNA, 2878 nt
Filed under: Lepocinclis tripteris
Lineage: Eukaryota; Euglenozoa; Euglenophyceae; Euglenales; Phacaceae
Description: bacterial LSU rRNA
Rfam family: Bacterial large subunit ribosomal RNA
Source: RNAcentral
GAAAACAAUUAAGGGCUUAUGCAGGAUCCCUUGGAACUUUUGAGCGAUGAAGGGCGUAGUUACUAGCGAUAUGCUUCGGGGAGCUAGAUACAAGCUUUGAUCCGAAGAUUCCCGAAUAGGGCAACCUAUUUAACCUAAAUUUAAUUUAUAGAUUUUGUGUGGCAGACCGGGUGAACUGAAACAUCUUAGUAGCCCGAGGAAGAGUAAGCAAUAGCGAUUUCCUUAUUAGCGGCGAGCUAACAGGAAAGAACCUAAACCGUUUUUGGUGUUGUGGGAUUUUAUUAUUGAAAUAAAUUAAAAUUGAAUUUGUUGAAUACAAAACCAUAGAAGGUUGAUAGUCCUGUAAAUUUAGUCAGUUUAUUUCAAAGAAUUUUCCCGAGUAGCGUGGAGCACGUGAAAUUCCAUGUGAAUCAGCAAGGACCAUCUUGUAAGGUAAAAUAUCCAAAAGUUACCAAUAGUGAACAAGUACCGCGAGGGAAAGGUGAAAAGAACCCUGGAAAGGGAGUGAAAUAGAAUGUGAAAGCAUAAGCUUACAUGCAGUGGGAGGAUUUUGAUUUCUGACCAUGUGCCUGUUGAAGAAUGAGCCGGCGACUUAUGGAUUAUGGCAGGUUAAGAUUUUACAUCGGAGCCACAGCGAAAGCGAGUUUGAAUAAAGCGAUUUUGUCAUCGUUCAUAGACCCGAAACCGGGUGAUCUAACUAUGACCAGAAUGAAGCCUGAGUAAAAUUAGGUGGAGGUUCGAACUCACCAAUGUUGAAAAAUUGGGAGAUGAGUUGUAGUUAGGGGAGAAAUUCCAGUCGAACUCGGAGCUAGCUGGAUCUCUUCGAAAUGUGUUGAGGCACAGCAACCAAUUAUGUUCUUUUCAGGGGUAGAGCACUGUUUCGAUGCGGGCUGCGAAAGUGGUACCAAGUUGUAGCAAACUUCGAAUACUGAUUCUUGAUGUUCAAUUGGUUAGUGAGACUGUGGGGGAUAAGCUUCAUAGUCAAAAGGGAAACAGCCCAGAUCACCAGUUAAGGCCCCUAAAUAAUUGCUAAGUGGUAAAGGAUGUGUUUGGACGUAGACAACCAGGAGGUUUGAUUAGAAGCAGCAAUUUUCCUUUAAAAAGUGCGUAAUAGCUUACUGGUCAAGUCCAUUCGCGCCGAUAAUGUUUGGGGCUAAGCAAUUUGCCGAAACUGUGGGUAUAACGGUAGAAGAGCGUUCUGUUAAGAUUGAAGUAAAUAUGUAAGUAUUUAUGGACUUUACAGAAGUGAGAAUGUCGGCUUAAGUAACGAAAACAUUGGUGAGAAUCCAAUGCUCCGUAAACCUAAAGGUUCCUUUGCAAGGUUCGUCCACAAAGGGUUAGUCAGGUCCUAAAAUGAAAUUGAAAAGUUUAGUUGAUGGCAAACAGGUUAAUAUUCCUGUACUACAAAACGUUAUGUUAAGAAGGACGAAAAAGGCUUAUGCUAGCCGAGUUUUGGUUUUCGGUUUAAAUUUUUAAGGCUAUGACGAAUAUAAUUAAAAAAUAUUCUGAGUUGAAAAAUGAGUAGUUUUUUGUUAAGGCAAGAAAUUAGCAGAUGUCACGUUUCCUAGAAAAGUUCUUGUAACGAGUUAACGUUUUGUACCUGUACUUGAAACUGACACAGGUAGGUGGGUAGAGAAUACCAAGGAGCGCGAGAUAACUCUUUUUAAGGAACUCGGCAAAAUGGCUUUGUAUCUUCGGUAGAAAAAGUGCCUUACUUAAACAGUAAGGUUGCAGUGAUCAGAUUCAAACGACUGCUUAUCAAAAGCACAGGUCUCCGCAAAGUUGAAAAACCAUGUAUGGGGGCUGACGCCUGCCCAGUGCCGGAAGGUGAAGGAAACUUGUUAGUUUUUUACAAAGCUUGUGACUUAAGCCCCGGUGAACGGCGGCAGUAACUAUAACUGUCCUAAGGUAGCGAAAUUCCUUGUCGGGUAAGUUCCGACCUGCACGAAAGGCGUAACGAUUUGAAUACUGUCUCAAAAAGAGACUCGGUGAAAUAGAAUUAACCGUGAAGAUGCGGUUAACUUGCACUUGGACAGAAAGACCCUAUGAAGCUUUACUGUAGUUUGAAAUUGAGUUUGGAUUUUCCUUGCGCAGAAUAGGUGGGAGGCUAUGAAGGGUUUUUUUCGGAAGAUCUUGAGCCAGAAGGUGAGAUACCACUCUUGGGAAAUUAAAACUCUAAUUGCAUUUCUUUAUUUGAAUGUUUGACAGUUUUAGAUGGGCAGUUUUACUGGGGCGGUAGCCUCCUAAAAAGUAACGGAGGCGUACAAAGGUUUCCUCAAACUGGACGGAAAUUAGUUUUAGAGUGUAAAGACAUAAGGAAGCUUAACUGUUAGACUUACAAGUCAAUCAGGGACGAAAGUCGGUCUUAGUGAUCCGACGUUACUUAAUGGAAAGGACGUCGCUCAACGGAUAAAAGUUACUCUAGGGAUAACAGGCUGAUCUUCCCCAAGAGUUCACAUCGACGGGGAGGUUUGGCACCUCGAUGUCGGCUCAUCGCAACCUGGAGCGGUAGUACGUUCCAAGGGUUGGGCUGUUCGCCCAUGAAAGCGGUACGUGAGCUGGGUUCAGAACGUCGAGAGACAGUUCGGUCCAUAUCCGGUGUAAGCGUUAGAAUAUUGAAAGGAGCUUUUUUUAGUACGAGAGGACCGAAAAAGACACAUCACUAGUAUAUCAGUUCUUGUGCCAACAGGAAACGCUGAGUAGCUACAUGUGGAGUGGAUAACUGCUGAAGGCAUCUAAGUAGGAAGCCCACCUUAAGAUAAGUAUUCCGUCAAGCUUUGCUUGAAAGAUCAUGAUUAGAUUAAUCAUACAUAGGUACUAGAUGAAAUAUAAGUAAUUAUUUUAGUCGAGGUAUACUAAUAGAUCGAACGUUUUUUAA